GUGGGGAAUUUUGGACAAUGGGCGCAAGCCUGAUCCAGCAAUGCCGCGUGCAGGAAGAAGGCCUUCGGGUUGUAAACUGCUUUUGUACGGAACGAAAAGGCUCUGGUUAAUACCUGGGGCUCAUGACGGUACCGUAAGAAUAAGCACCGGCUAACUACGUGCCAGCAGCCGCGGUAAUACGUAGGGUGCAAGCGUUAAUCGGAAUUACUGGGCGUAAAGCGUGCGCAGGCGGUUUUGUAAGACAGACGUGAAAUCCCCGGGCUCAACCUGGGAAUGGCGUUUGUGACUGCAAAGCUGGAGUGCGGCAGAGGGGGAUGGAAUUCCGCGUGUAGCAGUGAAAUGCGUAGAUAUGCGGAGGAACACCGAUGGCGAAGGCAAUCCCCUGGGCCUGCACUGACGCUCAUGCACGAAAGCGUGGGGAGCAAACAGGAUUAGAUACCCCAGUAGUCC
Molecule: ribosomal RNA, 450 nt
Filed under: uncultured bacterium
Lineage: Bacteria
Description: partial 16S ribosomal RNA
Rfam family: Bacterial small subunit ribosomal RNA
Source: RNAcentral